RNAcentral lists this ribosomal RNA (252 nucleotides) under uncultured bacterium. RNAcentral's name for it is "partial 16S ribosomal RNA". It matches the Rfam family "Bacterial small subunit ribosomal RNA", at positions 554 to 797 of the family's 1533-position model. The record is from RNAcentral.
GUUUNGGANNCUGGGCGUAAGGGCACGUAGGCGGUGAAUCGGGUUGAAAGUGAAAGUCGCCAAAAACUGGCGGAAUGCUCUCGAAACCAAUUCACUUGAGUGAGACAGAGGAGAGUGGAAUUUCGUGUGUAGGGGUGAAAUCCGGAGAUCUACGAAGGAACGCCAAAAGCGAAGGCAGCUCUCUGGGUCCCUACCGACGCUGGAGUGCGAAAGCAUGGGGAGCGAACGGGAUUAGAUACCCUGGGUAGUCCA